AGUGAACGCUGGCGGUAGGCCUAACACAUGCAAGUCGAACGGCAGCACAGGAGAGCUUGCUCUCUGGGUGGCGAGUGGCGGACGGGUGAGGAAUACAUCGGAAUCUACUCUGUCGUGGGGGAUAACGUAGGGAAACUUACGCUAAUACCGCAUACGACCUACGGGUGAAAGCAGGGGAUCUUCGGACCUUGCGCGAUUGAAUGAGCCGAUGUCGGAUUAGCUAGUUGGCGGGGUAAAGGCCCACCAAGGCGACGAGCCGUAGCUGGUCUGCGAGGAUUAUCCGCCACACUAGAACUGAGACACGGUCCAGACUCCUACGGGAGGCAGCAGUGGGGAAUAUUGGACAAUGGGCGCAAGCCUGAUCCAGCCAUACCGCGUGGGUUAAGAAGGCCUUCGGGUUGUAAAGCCCUUUUGUUGGGAAAGAAAUCCAGCUGGCUAAUACCCGGUUGGGAUGACGGUACCCAAAGAAUAAGCACCGGCUAACUUCGUGCCAGCAGCCGCCGUAA
This 506-nucleotide ribosomal RNA is filed under the name uncultured bacterium. RNAcentral's name for it is "partial 16S ribosomal RNA". It matches the Rfam family "Bacterial small subunit ribosomal RNA", at positions 29 to 523 of the family's 1533-position model. The record is from RNAcentral.